GGCCCAUCUCCUGGGGACUGGCCUGACCGGCCGAUACUUGACGCAGAUCAGCGUGUGGGAGCGUUGCUGAGCCUACCCCUUCCAAGCUACCCAGAAGAGUUGCUGAGCCUACCCCUCACCAGGAUCCCCCUGAGGACACCACCUUGACCCAGGGGCCUUGAAGGAAAAAAGAAGAGAAAUCUAGAAAGGAGGAAUUGUUGUGCAGAAGAGGAAUGAGAAUAAAGGUCUCAACUGAUCUCAGUUACUCUUGUGCACUCAUUGCCAUUUCUUUGGUUGUGACGUUGUGCUUCACCACAGAAUUCACAGAGAGAACAAGCCAUACAGCCUUUACUAAAUCAAUCUCCUAGGGAAGUACUGAGAAAAUGACAUGAGAAGCACCCACCCCUUCCCCACUGCAGUACUCUGAUUCCU
Long non-coding RNA from Mauremys reevesii (Reeves's turtle), 411 nucleotides. RefSeq lists it as uncharacterized. The transcript has 3 exons. The record is from RefSeq and is a predicted model, not a curated record. Lineage: Eukaryota; Metazoa; Chordata; Testudines; Geoemydidae.